GCGGGAGUUCCCGAGCGGUCAAAGGGGUACGGUUCAGGGCCGUAUGGCUUAGCGCCUUCGUCGGUUCGAAUCCGGCCUCCCGCA
Molecule: transfer RNA, 84 nt
Filed under: Nanobdellota archaeon
Lineage: Archaea; Nanobdellati; Nanobdellota
Description: tRNA-Leu
Rfam family: tRNA
About the family: Transfer RNA (tRNA) molecules are approximately 80 nucleotides in length. Their secondary structure includes four short double-helical elements and three loops (D, anti-codon, and T loops).
Source: RNAcentral